GGGCCGUUAGCUCAGUUGGUAGAGCAGCGGACUCUUAAUCCGUUGGUCGAAGGUUCGAGCCCUUCACGGCCCACCA
RNAcentral lists this transfer RNA (76 nucleotides) under Burkholderiaceae bacterium. RNAcentral describes it as "tRNA-Lys". It matches the Rfam family "tRNA". From Rfam's summary of the family: Transfer RNA (tRNA) molecules are approximately 80 nucleotides in length. Their secondary structure includes four short double-helical elements and three loops (D, anti-codon, and T loops). Lineage: Bacteria; Pseudomonadati; Pseudomonadota; Betaproteobacteria; Burkholderiales; Burkholderiaceae. RNAcentral also lists the same sequence under 3 other names. The record is from RNAcentral.